Molecule: ribosomal RNA, 548 nt
Filed under: uncultured bacterium
Lineage: Bacteria
Description: partial 16S ribosomal RNA
Rfam family: Bacterial small subunit ribosomal RNA
Source: RNAcentral
UGGGGAAUAUUGCACAAUGGGCGCAAGCCUGAUGCAGCAACGCCGCGUGAGGGAUGACGGCCUUCGGGGUUGUAAAACCUCUUUUAGCAGGGAAGAAGCGAAAAGUGACGGUACCUGCAGAAAAAGCACCGGCUAACUACGUGCCAGCAGCCGCGGUAAUACGUAGGGUGCAAAGCGUUUGUCCCGGGAAAUUAUUGGGCGUAAAGAGCUCGUAGGCGGUCUGUCGCGUCUGCUGUGAAAUCCCGAGGCUCAACCUCGGGCCUGCAGUGGGUACGGGCAGACUAGAGUGCGGUAGGGGAGAAUGGAACUCCUGGUGUAGCGGUGGAAUGCGCAGAUAUCAGGAAGAACACCGAUGGCGAAGGCAGUUCUCUGGGCCGUAACUGACGCUGAGGAGCGAAAGCGUGGGGAGCGAACAGGAUUAGAUACCCUGGUAGUCCACGCCGUAAACGUUGGGCGCUAGAUGUGGGGACCAUUCCACGGUUUCCGUAUCGCAGCUAACGCAUUAAGCGCCCCGCCUGGGGAGUACGGCCGCAAGGCUAAAACUCAAA